AUCGCUUCUUGGCCUUUUGGCUAAGAUCAAGUGUAGAAGAUGAGAUUUGUGGUCUCAAUUCUGGAAAAAGGUAGGAAAUCUAUUUUAGGUAUAUUCCAAGUUGUCCAUGACUUUACUAAUUUUUGCCUGAGUCCGACAGCUAAC
This 144-nucleotide small nuclear RNA is filed under the name Erinaceus europaeus (western European hedgehog). Its description in RNAcentral is "U2 spliceosomal RNA". It matches the Rfam family "U2 spliceosomal RNA". From Rfam's summary of the family: U2 is a small nuclear RNA (snRNA) component of the spliceosome (involved in pre-mRNA splicing). Complementary binding between U2 snRNA (in an area lying towards the 5' end but 3' to hairpin I) and the branchpoint sequence (BPS) of the intron results the bulging out of an unpaired adenosine, on the BPS, which initiates a nucleophilic attack at the intronic 5' splice site, thus starting the first of two transesterification reactions that mediate splicing. Lineage: Eukaryota; Metazoa; Chordata; Mammalia; Eulipotyphla; Erinaceidae. The record is from Rfam by way of RNAcentral.